RNAcentral lists this ribosomal RNA (253 nucleotides) under uncultured bacterium. RNAcentral's name for it is "partial 16S ribosomal RNA". It matches the Rfam family "Bacterial small subunit ribosomal RNA", at positions 524 to 776 of the family's 1533-position model. The record is from RNAcentral.
GACAGAGGCCCCAAGCGUUAGGCGGAAUCACUGGGCUUAAAGCGUGUGUAGGCGGACUUCUAAGUGCCUUGUGAAAUCCCACGGCUCAACCGUGGAACUGCUGGGCAUACUGGGAGUCUUGGGCCAUUCAGGGGCAACUGGAACAAGCGGUGGAGCGGUGAAAUGCGUAGAUAUUGGGAGGAACACCAGUGGCGAAGGCGGCUCACUGGACUGGUACUGACGCUGAUGCGCGAAAGCGUGGGGAGCAAACGGG